GUUUUUAAAUGCUGUUAAGCGUUUGAACAUUCAUUAAUAAAUAAAGCGUGUGUAUAAAGGGGAGCUCGACUAACAUAAGCCAGUCUACUGUCCCCUCAGAGAUGCACAGGUGUAUAAAGGAUAAGAAAGCGAGCACAUGCGAAGUAAAUCGCCAGCUCAACAAUCAAAGGUUCAUUAAUGAUCCUUCCGCAGGUUCACCUACGGAAA
Molecule: unclassified non-coding RNA, 207 nt
Filed under: uncultured fungus
Lineage: Eukaryota; Fungi
Description: sequence contains ITS1
Source: RNAcentral